AUUUAAAAUGCAAAUAAGACACAAGUCUUUUGUGAAGAUGAUAGGAUUUCAGUGCUUUAGAUAAACUACGAAUAAACCAAGUGGCUACUGUAGGUGGGACAAGGUGCAUGGUGGUACACAGGUAAGGGGGUAACUAUUUGCAAAGUGUACACAGAAUCAUAUGCAAAUAUAUAUUUGUUAAUGGCUCUCAUUUGUAGGUUUGUGACUCGCUUCAUUGAGCUGGAGGGCUUGACCUGUCUGCUAAAUUUCCUCCGGAGCAUGGACCACGCCACCUGUGAGAGCCGCAUCCACACCUCACUCAUCGGCUGCAUCAAAGCAUUGAUGAACAACUCCCAGGGGCGGGCACAUGUGCUGGCACAGCCUGAGGCCAUUAGUACCAUAGCCCAGAGCCUACGCACAGAGAACAGCAAGACCAAGGUGGCUGUGCUGGAGAUCCUGGGUGCUGUGUGCCUCGUGCCUGGCGGCCACAAGAAGGUGCUGCAAGCCAUGCUGCACUACCAGGUGUAUGCAGCAGAGCGAACCCGCUUCCAGGUGAGGGGCCUGGCUGGAGGCGGGAUGCCAGCUGGGUGGGGCAGAGGAUGUCACAUGUGAGUGAGAGCCUGAAGAUUCUUUGCAAAAGAAACUAGGGGAAAAGGAAGGUAAUGUGGUCUGCAUGCCUGCUCCUGGAGGGUAACAGGUGAAGAGUACUGGGACCUGGAAGGCUUGCAUAAAAACACAUGCAGGGCCUUAAGAGUUAUGAGUUUGGCUAGGAAAUGGACUUGUCCUCCUUAUUAGUCAGUGGGUUCCUGGAAGCUGGAAUAUUGGCCUGUAUUAUUUUUGUGGCUCUGCAUCUCCAACCUCAACACCUGGCUCAUGAUAGGGGCUCAGUCAAGAAUUAUUGAAUUGAGUUCAAUUGCUGAGAUUGAGAUUUUAGGUCCUAUACUUGGGCCAGUGCCUAAUGUGGGACACUGGGACCAUCCCUGGGAGCUUCAGCCAUGCUAUUCUCUUUUCUUUCCCUGACCUGCCCAGAAAAGUAUCAAUGAGAUGAACAGUAAAUAUGAAGUGUCUUAGCACAGUGCCUGGCACAGAGUAAGUCCAUAGAGACGUGAACUGAUGUUACAAACCCCAUGGUUUAUUGCCAAAAACUGGGUCCUGACUCUUUGCAGAAGAUGGAAAAGAGAUAAAAGCAGUGUCCAUACCAUAAAAGAGCUAGGCAGGGAAUACAUAUGAGCUGUAAACAGCUGGAGCACGAUGAUAAAGCAGCACUGAAGCACUGCUCAACCAUGUAGACCAAGCGCCAAAGGCUGAGUGGAGAGGAAGUGAGGCAGCACUGCCACUGAGGUGAGAGGCAAGGGAAUUCUCCAGGCAGAGGUGAGGUUUGGGGCAGCUCAGAGUAAAUUGGACAGACCUGAUUGGGUGGAGAGAGCAGAUGGGGCAUUCUAGGUAGUGGAGGUGACAGGAGUAAAGGUGCAAAGGCCACACCUGUUGGGGACUCAGCCCUCUCCUCCUGCUCUGUCCUGCAUUUCCACCUAGACCCUGCUGAAUGAGCUAGACCGAAGUCUGGGCCGGUACCGGGAUGAAGUGAAUCUG
This 1569-nucleotide small RNA is filed under the name Pongo abelii (Sumatran orangutan). RNAcentral's name for it is "retained intron". The record is from RNAcentral. Lineage: Eukaryota; Metazoa; Chordata; Mammalia; Primates; Hominidae.